UGUUUCGGCUAGGGGGCCAUCCCGGCUUACCAACCCGAUGCAAACUGCGAAUACCGGAGAAUGUUAUCACGGGAGACACACGGCGGGUGCUAACGUCCGUCGUGAAGAGGGAAACAACCCAGACCGCCAGCUAAGGUCCCAAAGUCAUGGUUAAGUGGGAAACGAUGUGGGAAGGCCCAGACAGCCAGGAUGUUGGCUUAGAAGCAGCCAUCAUUUAAAGAAAGCGUAAUAGCUCACUGGUCGAGUCGGCCUGCGCGGAAGAUGUAACGGGGCUAAACCAUGCACCGAAGCUGCGGCAGCGACACUGUGUGUUGUUGGGUAGGGGAGCGUUCUGUAAGCCUGCGAAGGUGUCCCGUGAGGGAUGCUGGAGGU
RNAcentral lists this ribosomal RNA (372 nucleotides) under Salmonella enterica subsp. enterica serovar Kentucky. Its description in RNAcentral is "partial 23S ribosomal RNA". It matches the Rfam family "Bacterial large subunit ribosomal RNA", at positions 911 to 1280 of the family's 2925-position model. Lineage: Bacteria; Pseudomonadati; Pseudomonadota; Gammaproteobacteria; Enterobacterales; Enterobacteriaceae. The record is from RNAcentral.